Pogoniulus pusillus (Red-fronted tinkerbird) is the source of this 359-nucleotide long non-coding RNA. RefSeq lists it as uncharacterized. The transcript is spliced from 2 exons. NCBI's taxonomy places the organism in Eukaryota, Metazoa, Chordata, Aves, Piciformes, Lybiidae. The record is from RefSeq and is a predicted model, not a curated record.
GCCCAGGCAGUGGUGACUCUGCUCUGUGUCUAGGAAGGGUACAAAUAUUUGGGGGGUUCCCACCUCGGUGUUCCCGCUUUGGAGUUCUCCCCCCACCUGGAUAGGUCCUGCAGGAGGAGCUACUGGCGCCCUGCUCCCAAGGACCCUUUGUGCAGGCUCCGAGGGUCUUAGCGACGCUCCGAGGGCCUGUGCAGGAGGGCGAGGGGAGAGCGGCUGGAGCGCCCUGCUUGCCGGACAGCCUGGCUCACCCAUGCUGAACACAGCGUAGAGAUACAAACAACCAAAACCUCACAGCAGGUCGUUGCCAGUGCACUGAAGUAGAUGUCCUUGCAGACUCUUUGCUGAUCCUAAUUUGACAG